GAUGGAUGGACAGGUGAGAAGUCUUAUGCCAAAGAGCAUAAAUCAGACUUUCAAUCAUACCACCAAAUUCAUAUAGGAAAAAGUAUAAUUGAACAUUUUACCAGAAAAGUACCCAGUAUGUGCCUUUGAACACACAGAACCGGAAGCAUCUCAGAUUUGCUGCGUUUGAGCCUUGCUGAAGUUUCCCCGUGAGAUAAGCCGUGUGCUUUUUGGAUCCUGCUCAGCUGUGACAGUUUGCUUUCUUCCAUUUCUUCAGGUUUUUUGAGACGGAUUUUUCAGCCUAUUUGAAAGGUCAAGGAACAAUGGGGACUUUGUCCUUGUUAAUAUUAAAAGAGGAGCCUAG
Long non-coding RNA from Mastomys coucha (southern multimammate mouse), 343 nucleotides. RefSeq lists it as uncharacterized. The record is from RefSeq and is a predicted model, not a curated record. The transcript has 2 exons. Lineage: Eukaryota; Metazoa; Chordata; Mammalia; Rodentia; Muridae.